This 77-nucleotide transfer RNA is filed under the name Candidatus Altimarinota bacterium. RNAcentral's name for it is "tRNA-Gly". It matches the Rfam family "tRNA". From Rfam's summary of the family: Transfer RNA (tRNA) molecules are approximately 80 nucleotides in length. Their secondary structure includes four short double-helical elements and three loops (D, anti-codon, and T loops). Further hydrogen bonds mediate the characteristic L-shaped molecular structure. tRNAs have two regions of fundamental functional importance: the anti-codon, which is responsible for specific mRNA codon recognition, and the 3' end, to which the tRNAs corresponding amino acid is attached (by aminoacyl-tRNA synthetases). tRNAs cope with the degeneracy of the genetic code in two manners: having more than one tRNA (with a specific anti-codon) for a particular amino acid; and 'wobble' base-pairing, i.e. permitting non-standard base-pairing at the 3rd anti-codon position. Lineage: Bacteria; Candidatus Altimarinota. The record is from RNAcentral.
GCGGGCGUAGCUCAGUUGGCUAGAGCGCAACCUUGCCAAGGUUGAGGUCGAGGGUUCGAGCCCCUUUGCCCGCUCCA